Molecule: long non-coding RNA, 201 nt
Filed under: Homo sapiens (human)
Lineage: Eukaryota; Metazoa; Chordata; Mammalia; Primates; Hominidae
Description: HSALNT0109132
Source: RNAcentral
UGAGCUCAUAGCAUUGACUUAUUUUUUUCAUCUCUUCAUAUAGACUACUGGUAGCAGAUGAGAAUGAAACAUAAAUGAAGCAAAGAAUACAUUUCUAGGAUCCAGUCCAAGAAUAAGUAAAUGGCAUCCUUCCAGUGGAGAGCUGACAGCUGGGAUUGAAACAAGAUGGAUCCCCAUCCAUGUACCUUUGCUCAACUGUCC